AGUGAACGCUGGCGGUAGGCCUAACACAUGCAAGUCGAACGGCAGCACAGUAAGAGCUUGCUCUUACGGGUGGCGAGUGGCGGACGGGUGAGGAAUACAUCGGAAUCUACUUUUUCGUGGGGGAUAACGUAGGGAAACGUACGCUAAUACCGCAUACGACCUACGGGUGAAAGCAGGGGAUCUUCGGACCUUUCGCGAUUGAAUGAGCCGAUGUCGGAUUAGCUAGUUGGCGGGGUAAGGGCCCACCAAGGCGACGAUCCGUAGCUGGUCUGAGAGGAUGAGCAGCCACGCUGGAACUGAGACACGGUCAAGAAUCCUCCGGGAGGCAGCAGGGGGGAAUAUUGGACGAUGGGCGAAAGCCUGAUCCAGCCAUAUCGCGUGGGUGAAGAAGGCCUUCGGGUUGUAAAGCCCUUUUGUCGGGAAAGAAAAGCAGCAGGUUAAUCCCGCGCUGGUCUGACGUUAACCAAAGAAUAAGCACCGGCUAACUUCGUG
Molecule: ribosomal RNA, 492 nt
Filed under: uncultured bacterium
Lineage: Bacteria
Description: partial 16S ribosomal RNA
Rfam family: Bacterial small subunit ribosomal RNA
Source: RNAcentral